RNAcentral lists this ribosomal RNA (482 nucleotides) under uncultured Bradyrhizobiaceae bacterium. RNAcentral describes it as "bacterial SSU rRNA". It matches the Rfam family "Bacterial small subunit ribosomal RNA", at positions 402 to 902 of the family's 1533-position model. Lineage: Bacteria; Pseudomonadati; Pseudomonadota; Alphaproteobacteria; Hyphomicrobiales; Nitrobacteraceae. The record is from RNAcentral.
UGAGUGAUGAAGGCCUUCGGGUUGUAAAGCUCUUUUGUGCGGGAAGAUAAUGACGGUACCACAAGAAUAAGCCCCGGCUAACUUCGUGCCAGCAGCCGCGGUAAUACUAAGGGGGCUAGCGUUGCUCGGAAUCACUGGGCGUAAAGGGUGCGUAAGCGGGUCUUUAAGUCAGGGGUGAAAUCCGGGAGCUCAACUCCAGAACUGCCUUUGAUACUGAAGAUCUUGAGUUCGGGAGAGGUGAGUGGAAUUGCGAGUGUAGAGGUGAAAUUCAUAUAUAUUCGCAAGAACACCAGUGGCGAAGGCGGCUCACUGGCCCGAUACUGACGCUGAGGCCCGAAAGCGUGGGGAGCAAACAGGAUUAAAUACCCUGGUAGUCCACGCCAUAAACGAUGAAUGCUAGCCGUUAGUGGGUUUACUCCCUAGUGGCGCAGCUAACGCUUUAAGCAUUCCGCCUGGGGAGUACGGUCGCAAGAUUAAAACUC